GUAAUGUUAACAUUCAGUACAUUUUUAUAUUAUGAGUUACAUCUAGCAUGUAGUUAUAUGUAGUUCUCUCAGCAUAACGCUUGGUUUAUGAUAGACCUCUCAUCCAUUUCACCUAUUCUAUAAGAUUCAAGAAGGAUGGAAAAGCAAUUGGAAGGAAGGAAUAAAUGAAAUUGGUUACAAGAGCAAGUGGUGGGAAUGGAAGAGAUGUGUCGGUGGAAAAUAGGAGUAGGGGAGGGAUUAAGGGGAGAAUACAGAAUUGGAAAUGAGAGCUAGUUCUACUGUCACAGCCCUCCAUAUGCAAUUGUCAUCUCAUUUUAUCGUAAUCUUUUCCAGCAUUCAAUUAAAAUUUGCUUAUUCAUAUUGUCUAUAUUUUUCCUGUUGGAUUCCCAUCAAAUUGGUAUCAGAGAGGUUCCUUCUGAUGGCACAGAAAAAUAUAGACGGCAAGGUGGACACAAUAGAAACUGAAAUGGAAGAGCGAAGGCAGAAUUGCAACGCCUUCCUGGAUUGGAGAAAUCAGUAAAUUAGUUUACUCAAAAACAUGGCCAAAAUCUUACAAUCCAUAGAGAAAACGAGGAGGACAAUAGCAGCCCUAUCUAGUGCUAAAAUAGGGCUGGGCAGAAGCUGGGAAGGAGAAGGAUCAGGCAGUGUGGUCAAGGGCCCAUUGUCGUAGAACAAAUUGUCAGAAAUCAUUGGUGUUCAACGUACUUUUGAUCGGGAAACAUGGUGGGAGGGCUCAGGUGAGGCCAGUUUCAGUGAAGUCCUAGUGAACCAUGAUAACGAAAGAGAUUGGGAAAAUUGGAGGCAAACGUGCAAGCUCGAAAUGCC
Molecule: long non-coding RNA, 825 nt
Filed under: Olea europaea subsp. europaea
Lineage: Eukaryota; Viridiplantae; Streptophyta; Magnoliopsida; Lamiales; Oleaceae
Source: RNAcentral